This 269-nucleotide ribosomal RNA is filed under the name uncultured bacterium. RNAcentral's name for it is "partial 16S ribosomal RNA". It matches the Rfam family "Bacterial small subunit ribosomal RNA", at positions 793 to 1055 of the family's 1533-position model. The record is from RNAcentral.
GUCCUGGCCUUAAACGAUGGAUGCUUGGUGUCUGGGGUUUUAUAGUCCCCGGGUGCCGUAGCUAACGCGUUAAGCAUCCCGCCUGGGGAGUACGGUCGCAAGACUGAAACUCAAAGGAAUUGACGGGGACCCGCACAAGCGGUGGAGCAUGUGGUUCAAUUCGACGCAACGCGAAGAACCUUACCUGGGCUAGAAUGCCUCUGACAACUCCAGAGAUGGAGCCUCUUAGGGAAACCUAGGCAGAGUGCAAGGUGCUGCAUGGCUGUCGU